UGGUGCCCAACAUCCCCAUCACAUCCCAUGUCCCCAUCACUUCCCAUGUCCUCAUGGUGCUAUAUGUCCUCACGGCGCCCUAUGUCCUCAUGGUGUCCCCAUCACGUCCCAUGUCUUCAUGGUGUCCCAUGUCCCCAUCACUUCCCAUGUCCCCAUGGUGCCCUAUGUCCUCGUGGUGUCCCCAUCAAAUCCCACAUUCCCAUGGUACCAACCAUCCCCAUGACAUCCCACAUCCUCAUCACAUCCACAUCCCAUAUCCCCGUUAUGUCCCAUGGUGCCCCAUGUCCUCAUGGUGUCCUGUGUCCCCAUCACAUCCCACAUCCGCAUUACAUCCCACACCCCGUCAUGUCCUAUGUCCCCAAGGUGUCCCAUGUCCAUGGGGUGUCCCACAUCCCCAUCACAUCCUGCAUCCCCAUGCUAUCCCACGUCCCCAUCACAUCCCACAUUCCUGUGGUGCCCCACGUCCCCCGCUGUGGGGCAGGGCCUGGCUGUGGGCUCCCCACCAGAUGUCACCAGCUGGCCCUGUGAAGGCCUUGUCCCCACCAUGGGGACAGUAGGGCUGGAGCUGGCUCGCCAGAGCCACCCAACGUCCCCACGCCACAGCAGGGGGAUGUCAUCAUGGGGUGGGUCCCUGAGCAUCCUGGGGACCUGGGGGACCUUGGGUGACCAUGGGGACCCUUUACCUGCCCCCUUGACACCCCUAUUAACAGCCCCCUUAACACCCCCAUUACUUGCCUUAUUAAUACCCCAUUUACCCGUCCCAUUAAUACUCCUGUUUCCUGCCCCAUUAACAUGCCCAUUACAUGCCCUGUUGCUUGCCCCAUUAAUUAUCCCAUUACCUGCCCCAUUAGUUAUCCCAUUACCUGCCCCAUUACCUUCCCAUUACCCACCCCAUUAUGCACCCCAUUACCCGCCCCAUUACCUUCCUAAUUACCUACCCUGCUGCCUUCCCCAUUACCCACUCCAUUACCCUUCCCAGUACCUGCCCCGAGCCCACUACAUCACCAGGCCAACCUGAUCUGGUGGGUGGCAACCCUGCCUAUGGCAGGGGGUUGGGGUUAGAUGACCCUAAAGGUCCCUUCCAAGGAGAGCCAUUCUGUCAUCCCCAUCCCCAUCCCCAUA
RNAcentral lists this long non-coding RNA (1122 nucleotides) under Anser cygnoides (Swan goose). Its description in RNAcentral is "lncRNA (ENSACDG00005016652.1)". Lineage: Eukaryota; Metazoa; Chordata; Aves; Anseriformes; Anatidae. The record is from RNAcentral.